Molecule: antisense RNA, 75 nt
Filed under: Micromonospora sp. CNZ299
Lineage: Bacteria; Bacillati; Actinomycetota; Actinomycetes; Micromonosporales; Micromonosporaceae
Description: ASpks TB sRNA
Rfam family: ASpks TB sRNA
Source: RNAcentral
CUUGAUCGAGCCGAGCCACAACGGAUCCUCUUCCGGACCCCGCUGUCCGUACGUGGCGAGCAACGCCCGUGCCUC